This is a long non-coding RNA of Bos indicus x Bos taurus (hybrid cattle), 1666 nucleotides long. NCBI's taxonomy places the organism in Eukaryota, Metazoa, Chordata, Mammalia, Artiodactyla, Bovidae. The record is from Ensembl.
UUUUAGAGACUGGUUACCUAAACUGUUAACCAAAUUAAGGCCUUUAUUAUUAAUUCAGUUAAAAUGAGUGUAAGUGUAUAACAUCUUCAGAACAAUUUAUGCCAAAGAAUUAAGCAGGCUGAAAUGAAUGGAAAGCUACUUAUUUCCUGUAACUGUACUCACACUUUAUAUUUAAUUUAUACAACUUUUAAAAACCAAUUUCUACAAGUCAGAUCUUUCAACAUUUUCAUUUUCUUGCCAUCUGCUGCUUUGUAAACCAGCCAUUUAAUAUGAAAACUUGCUCAGAAGCUGUACUUUUAAUGCACUUACUAGCUCAUCAGAUGAUAUCUCUAAUUGAGCUGUUUGCUCCUCAAUUGGAGGCAAGUGCAAGUUGCUGGUCUGUUUUCUCGGCUUUCCUGGUGGACUUGAGCCAAAGGAAUUCUUCAUAUGUUGGGAAGAUGAUGAGCUCUUCGUGAAAUGAAUUGAAUUCCCUCACCCGCAUUUUUCCAUUUGUCCUUUGACUCUACUUGUGGUAUGUGUGCGUGCUAAGUUGCUUCAGUUGUGUUGGACUCUUUGCGACCCUAUGGACAGUAGCCUGCCAGGCUGCUCUGUCCAUGGGAUUCUCUAGGAAAGAACACUGGAGUGGGUUUCCAUGCCCUCCUUCAGGGAAUCUUCCCUACCCAGGGACUGAACCUGCGUCUCUUAUGUCUCCUGCAUUGGCAGGCAGUUUCUUUGCACUAGCACCACCUGGGAAGCCCACUUAUGGUAUAUUUUUGCCUUAUGAAAGGUUUUACUUUUAAAGAAGUAGAUUUAUAAAUGUGUCAGUGUUUCUAGUAUGGAUUCUAAAAGAUUUUGAAAUGCAUGAAAGUAAAGAAGAAUUUUUUACUAUUAUUAUUCCAAACACCAUCUUCCACAACUACUUCUGUCUCCCAAGGGAGUGGCAUUCUUUCUCUUCAAAGUAGAUUUUUUGGUAAUCUCCCUAAUGAAUCCUGUAAUGUGAAAAGAUAAACCUCAGAGGAGUAAGGUGAAGAGAGGAGAAAUAAUUUGCUCUGCACAAUGAAGUAAAAAUUGUACAUUUCCAGGAAUACUUCAAAUAGGGACUCAAGGGAGGAACUGAGAACUGACCAAUAUGCUAAGUGGCCAGUGAGCCAGGAGCAGGAGACCAAUGGAGGAUUUCCAGGUGGGGAGGGGGUUGUUAAAGGCGGGGUGGGGGAUGUGCAGUUUUAUGUCCCUGCUAUGCUGCGCUACAGUGUAACCCCUGCAUUACUUCCAACCACAAAGUGCGGACAGACAAGCCAAAAUGAAGAGAAUGGGGUGAAAUGGGAGCAAGAGAGUAGAGGCCCCAAACAAAUUUUCAGAGAGUCAGGUGAGAGGCUGCAGCCAGGGUGACUCAGAAGUUAUUCAGGAGACAAAUUCUUUCCCCCAAAUAGCCUAGAGCCAUCAUUUGCCAAACUCGGUUAUACAUUAGAAUCACUAGCAGGAGGUUUUCAGAAUCACAAACACCUGAAUUUCACCCAGACCAAUUAAAUGAGAGGCUCUGUAGGUGGGACCCAAGCUUCAGGAGGCUUUAGAAAGUUUCCCAGGUGAUUCUGACAUACAACCAGGGUUGAAAACUGCUGUUCUAGGUCAGUGCUUCCCAAACUAUUUCAAGUAUGCAAAUAAAUCAUCCAAGAAUAGUUAUAAUUCA